This 406-nucleotide ribosomal RNA is filed under the name uncultured bacterium. RNAcentral's name for it is "partial 16S ribosomal RNA". It matches the Rfam family "Bacterial small subunit ribosomal RNA", at positions 28 to 526 of the family's 1533-position model. The record is from RNAcentral.
GACGAACUCUGGCGGCGUGCCUAAUACAUGCAAGUAGGACGAGUUGCGAACGGGUGAGUAACGCGUGGUAACCUACCUAUUAGAGGGGGAUAACUAUUGGAAACGAUAGCUAAUACCGCAUACCAUCGGAUGUGCCCAGAUGGGAUUAGCGAGUAGGUGGGGUAACGGCUCACCUAGGCGACGGUCCCUAGCUGGUCUGAGAGUAUGACCGGCAACACGGGAACUGAGACACGGUCCAGACGCCUAUGGGAGGCAGUAGUGGGGAAUAUGGCACAAUGGGCGCAAGCCUGAUGCAUCCAUGCCGCGUGUAUGAAGAAGGCCUUCGGGUUGUAAAGUACUUUCAGCGAGGAGGCGUUACUCGCAGAAGAAGCACCGGCUAACUACGUGCCAGCAGCCGCGGUAAUUC